RNAcentral lists this ribosomal RNA (477 nucleotides) under uncultured bacterium. RNAcentral describes it as "bacterial SSU rRNA". It matches the Rfam family "Bacterial small subunit ribosomal RNA", at positions 28 to 507 of the family's 1533-position model. The record is from RNAcentral.
GACGAACGCUGGCGGCGUGCCUAACACAUGCAAGUCGAGCGGGGACUUGUGGAAUGAAGCUUCGGCAGAAUGAACAAGUUCUAGCGGCGGACGGGUGAGUAACGCGUGAGCAACCUGCCUAUCACUGGGGAAUAACGCAUCGAAAGGUGUGCUAAUACCGCAUGAGACCACAUGAUCGCAUGGUCGAGGGGUCAAAGAUUUAUUGGUGAUAGAUGGGCUCGCGUCUGAUUAGCUAGUUGGUGAGGUAACGGCCCACCAAGGCGACGAUCAGUAGCCGACCUGAGAGGGUGAUCGGCCACAUUGGAACUGAGAAACGGUCCAAACUCCUACGGGAGGCAGCAGUAGGGAAUAUUGGGCAAUGGGGGAAACCCUGACCCAGCAACGCCGCGUGAAGGAAGAAGGUCUUCGGGUCGUAAACUUCUAUCCUUGGUGAAGAUAAUGACGGUAGCCAAGAAGGAAGCCCCGGCUAACUACGUG